Molecule: long non-coding RNA, 273 nt
Filed under: Capsella grandiflora
Lineage: Eukaryota; Viridiplantae; Streptophyta; Magnoliopsida; Brassicales; Brassicaceae
Description: long non-coding RNA (CGRA_LNC000558)
Source: RNAcentral
AGACAGUGGAUUUGAGUUCGUCGAGCAAAUGAUUCUGAUGUUCAUUAUUACAACCAUUGUUUUCUGAGGAAGAAGCUGUGGAUGAAGUAAUUUGAAGCGUUACGAGAAAAAUAAAUAAAAGUGGCUUAAAAAUCGCCAUUAUUGGAGACUGCAACAGAGGAGGACUUAGCACAGUCAGAGAGAGAGAGAGCGCGAGUCGCGAGAGAGAGAGAGAGAAGAGAGGAGACCAGAGACUAAAGCGUACCAAGUCAAAUAAAGGGUCUUCCCAUCUUU